This is a non-coding RNA of Solanum lycopersicum (tomato), 531 nucleotides long. The record is from RefSeq and is a predicted model, not a curated record. NCBI's taxonomy places the organism in Eukaryota, Viridiplantae, Streptophyta, Magnoliopsida, Solanales, Solanaceae.
AAAAGAAAUAUUACUUAGAUUCAUAUUUCACUUGCCAAAAAAUAGUCUAAGCCUUUCUAAUUAGGUUGGAUAAAAGAUAAACUUGUGAGUGGCUCGAGAUUUUUACUCUGAUUAUUAUGGGUAAUUUUCUGCCUUGCGUCUAUCACUUCUGAUAAAGUAUCUUUUGCGCAUGCAGAGAACAAGAUCAGGACGAAGCUGACGAAACAGAAUAUCAGAACGGGGCAAUGGAAGUGGCGAGGAACGUGGUUGAUAGUACUCUAGACAGGCCAAGUUUGCAUGAAUUCCCCGGAUUAAAUAAUUUAGGCCCAGAGGAAUUAUAUGCUAUGCUGUUUCUCCAGGUCGUUAGACUACAUCGGAUUCUUUGACAGUGAAGAAGCACUUAUUGCCGUGGAGGAACUUGAAGAAGACAGUGGAGAGUAGUGUAUGUAUAUUCUCUUUUUAUGACUAUAUAUAUAUAUAGAGAGAGAGAUCCAGAUGAAAUUGUUGAUGUAGACAGAAGAAAAGGAGAUUGGUGGAGGAACUAGUUCUUCA